Molecule: ribosomal RNA, 250 nt
Filed under: uncultured bacterium
Lineage: Bacteria
Description: partial 16S ribosomal RNA
Rfam family: Bacterial small subunit ribosomal RNA
Source: RNAcentral
CAUCAUGGCUCAGGAUGAACGCUAGCGACAGGCUUAACACAUGCAAGUCGAGGGGCAGCGAGGGAGUGGCAACACUUCCGUCGGCGACCGGCGCACGGGUGAGUAACGCGUAUGCAACCUGCCCUUCACAGGGGGAUAACCGGGAGAAAUUCCGACUAAUACCGCAUACGUCCUCCGGGGGCAUCCCCGGGGGAUGAAAGAAUUAUCGGUGAAGGAUGGGCAUGCGUGAUAUUAGGUAGUUGGCGGGGCG